ACAUCCAAUCCAGUUGCACCAGAAGUGGAAAUCGAUCUAGCAAAACUAAUAACGCCCGCAGAUUUACUUCGUGCAAAAAAUGCUGGAUUCCCAGAAAGAGACAUUUUUUUGCUAGUAACUUCCGGCCUGACAGUUGACGAAAUGCUCAAAAUGAAGGAGAUACGGUUGAAAGAUGGGAACGAUGCCUUUGAACGUUUGACUAAAUGGUGCGAAAUUUUGACUCCUGGACUGAAAAUUGCGUCUAAUUAUACUGUCGCCCAACAAGCGAACUUUGUCAAUGUAAUGGGUGCAGCAGAUCUACUGCCGAACAACGAAAGAUUUCCCUUUUAUCGGACCUCGUUGUGUAACCGCCUUGGUCAACCAAAUUUAAAUUCAUUUAAUCCAAAAUUUGUUCCUCACACCAUUAUUCGUUGGUUAAAGAGAAACAGUGAAAGAUAUUCUAGCCUAGAACGUGUUAAAAUUAGUAAAGUAAUGUGCUGCUUCGAGGGGCUUGAGGAUAAUGUAAAAUAUGAAAACUUAAGGGGAUUUAGUGAACAUGUAAACAAUGUAGUUGUGAAUGGAUUGAGCGAUGUAGAUAUGAAUGAAUUCGCAGAACAAUGGAAUCAUUUCGAUACCACAAAUGUA
This is a long non-coding RNA of Bradysia coprophila, 624 nucleotides long. Lineage: Eukaryota; Metazoa; Arthropoda; Insecta; Diptera; Sciaridae. The record is from RefSeq and is a predicted model, not a curated record.